RNAcentral lists this ribosomal RNA (264 nucleotides) under uncultured archaeon. Its description in RNAcentral is "partial 16S ribosomal RNA". It matches the Rfam family "Archaeal small subunit ribosomal RNA", at positions 717 to 982 of the family's 1478-position model. The record is from RNAcentral.
AGACGUCUACAUUAGAUACCCGUGUAGUCCCAGCCGUAAACUAUGCGCGUUAGGUGUAUCGGUGACCACGAGUUACCGAGGUGCCGAAGGGAAACCGUGAAACGUGCCGCCUGGGAAGUACGGUCGCAAGGCCGAAACUUAAAGGAAUUGGCGGGGAGCACCACAACAGGUGGAGCCUGCGGUUUAAUUGGACUCAACGCCGGGAAGCUCACCGGAUAGGACAGCAGAAUGAUUGCCGGGCUGAAGACCCUGCAUGACUAGCUG